UAUAGGAAACAUUAAGUCUAUUUUAUAACUUGAGCUAGUAUAUAUAGACAAGAGAUACUUUGACUUCAUAGUAGAAACAAACUAUUCUUCAAAAACUCAACAUGAAUUCAAAGGUAGUAAUUGUUAGUGUUGCCGUUCUCGCCUGCGUGGUCUUGUGCCAGGCUGACGUACCAAGAAGAACUCGUGCCGCGGCUGAAGACACGUCUUCUACUCUCCCCAACGUUAAAGAAUUCACAGAGUUGGUCGAACAAAUUCAGAAGAAUCCCUCUGAAUUCUUUACUACUAUAUCUAAGGCUUUUAAGAAGAGAUUCGGUUCCCUCAGUGGAGGUUUAAGUAAUACUGGCACUAGCAAGUAACUGACUUGCAUUAAUUACCAUGUUUUACAAUUUAAUGAAAUAAAAUAAUGUAUCGUGCA
This is a long non-coding RNA of Leptidea sinapis, 415 nucleotides long. RefSeq lists it as uncharacterized. NCBI's taxonomy places the organism in Eukaryota, Metazoa, Arthropoda, Insecta, Lepidoptera, Pieridae. The record is from RefSeq and is a predicted model, not a curated record. The transcript has 2 exons.